GCAAACUUGGUCAUUUAGAGGAAGUAAAAGUCGUAACAAGGUUUCCGUAGGUGAACCUGCGGAAGGAUCAUUAUCGAGUAUUUACCAGGCUGUAGCUGGCCCUCCGAGGCAUGUGCACGCCUGGUUCAUCCACUCUACACCUGUGCACUUGCUGUGGGCUUCUCAAACCGCUGAAGCGGGCGCACCCGUGCGCUCGUGGGGGCGUCUUUGGGGGGUCCAUGUUUACCACAAACCCAAAAGUAUUAGAAUGUGCAUUGUGCGAUGUAACGCAUGUAUAAACAACUUUCAGCAACGGAUCUCUUGGCUCUCGCAUCGAUGAAGAACGCAGC
Molecule: unclassified non-coding RNA, 329 nt
Filed under: uncultured fungus
Lineage: Eukaryota; Fungi
Description: partial contains small subunit ribosomal RNA, internal transcribed spacer 1, and 5.8S ribosomal RNA
Rfam family: Eukaryotic small subunit ribosomal RNA (bases 1-73)
Source: RNAcentral